CUAAGCCUAGGCCUUGACAAGAUGAAGCUGUCAAGCCCCUUAGCAUGCUCUGGACAUGCUGUGUUGGGGAAAUGACAGGGUCUUAACACCCCAAAGCAUUCAUAAUCACCACUGAGCUGCACCCCAUCCCGCAGCCAGUUGAUGCUCUGCACAUCAUCGCGAAGCCGACAGCGAAGCUGUAGCAGGUCGCCAGGGUGGACCAGGAGAGACUCCACUUCCACAGGGACUCCCCAGGGCUGAGCUGCAGCAGCCACCCACAAGGGCCAGGAGGAAGAGCCAAGUGGAGAAAGGAGGUGGAGAAAGGGAGUUAGACAGCAUGCAAGCUCUCAGCUGCUGUUCCAGUGCCCGUGUGCUGCCACGGUUACCUUCAGGAUGGUCAUGGACUCACCCUCUGAAACUGAGUUCACCAUCUAGACCUAGAACUGGCGGGGACCUCAGGUCUAUCCACCAUCUGGCCUUCUUCUUUUGUCAGGGUCUCACUUUGCAGCCCUGGCUAGCCCAGAACUCACAGAGGCUUACCAGCUUCUUCAUCCUCCAUGCUGGGAUUCAAGCAGUCAAUAGAAGACAGCCAUUAAAGAAAUCUUCAGGGGCACACCCGUCUGUGGAGACCAUCAAUGCACCCCACUCGUACCACGGGAAUCAGCAGAGCUGGAACAGCACCUUAUGGUACAAGAUCACUUCCUGGGGUGGUAGGAUGGCUCACUUGGCAAGAAAGCUUGCUGCAAAGCCUGACUUGAUUUCUGCCUCCAGGACUCCCGUGGUAGAGAGAAAUGACUCCUACAAGCUAUGCUAUCCUCUGACCACCACAUGUGCACUGUGGCACAUACAUAUGUCCCCGGGCAUUCGUGUGUGUGUGUGUGUGUGUGUGUGUGCACGCGCGUGCACGAGAGCCAUUAAUAUAAAAUAAAUGCAAUU
Molecule: long non-coding RNA, 915 nt
Organism: Mus pahari (shrew mouse)
Lineage: Eukaryota; Metazoa; Chordata; Mammalia; Rodentia; Muridae
Exons: 5
Source: RefSeq, a predicted model, not a curated record